ACACCCGAGGCCUCCCGGGUCUCAUCCACGCCUCUGGGUCCAUCACUAAACAGAAGGCACAAUCCCACUAACUCUUACUCCAUCGCUGCUCAUGAAACUCCUGCCAGUAAGGACUGGGUCAAGCACCUGAAAACCAGAGCUCGUCCGUGGCUUCACUUGUUUUGGACUAAGGAGCUGAGGAGCGUGCAAGACUGUACUUGGAGAAUCUGUUUCUUGCUGCCAUUUCGUCACUGAACACUAUUUUUUUUCUCCUUCUUUUUUUGUAAGAAAAGGAGAACACAUAAAACCCCACCAGAACAAACUCCACUCGGCCCUGAAAGUAUUUACAAUCACGGCCCUGAAAGUACUGAAAGUAUUUACAAUCACGUUACAGUUCAUUCACUGCUGCAGAACCUCUCUCCAGCGAUCAAGGUCGAAGGGAGCCGACGUCGCCCUCUAUCGGCUCCCUGCUGCACUAGAAGAUAUUGACUGAGAAUCCUCCAUGUGCCAAGUACUGUUCAAAAACACUGGGAACCCAGCAGGGAUGAGCCACAAGUUUCCUUGUCUUUACGAAGCUUUCAUUCUGAGGGAGUGGAGAGAGACAAGCAAUAAACAACCAAUCAAAACAAAGAUGACUCCUCUGAGUGUUGUGAUAUGCGGGUCAAGGAGGAUGGCUCCCAGGAUGUGACCUCAGAGCAGAAGCCUGGAGGCUUGCCAGCAGCGGGAAGAGCAGCGGCAGGGCACUGCAGGCAGAGGUUCUCCUGUCCCAGCCCCUGGGCUUGCCAGUGAUGCCCAGAGGAUGAUGUGCCUGGUGGCUGAGCUCUUCCAGAACUAAAGACGUGCGGAUCCCUGAGUAUCCAUAACCAUCAAAGCAUGAAGUAAUGCCUUGUAAGUGGUGUCACCACACCUCCCAGAAGAAGGAUGGAUUCCUACCAGAAGCAGUCAAACAUAGUGCCGGAUCAUCUAAGUGAAACGGAUCCCCAUGGGUGCUGCUAUUGGGAUACCAAAGGUCUGAAGUUCAUCCAAUGCAAUAGCAGAAAUAAUUACAUCUGUGAGCAUGUGAGAAGAACCCUGAGUUAGUCCCAAGUGCAAAUCACCAUCUCCAACCAAUUCCUCCACCAAUUGAUGGAUGUUGGGGAGUGGGGUACAGCAACCCCUCCAAGUCCUUCCUCCCUCUAUAUAGCCCAGGAGACUCCCCUCCCACCAGCCUGGCCCCCAGAGUGCUGACUGGCAACAAUAUUCCAAGUUAAAAUAGUUUGCUAAAUAGUUAUACAAUUAGUUUACAAUUCAAAUAUAUCAGAGGAAAAGACAGGGAAAAAAAUUCUAAGAUACAUGAAUCCCAGACCAUUGCUCUCCAAAUAUUUUCAAGUGAUUCAUCUCCUUUAUUUAAAAAAUGAAUUAACCACCAGAUGGGACACUCAUACAUUCCUGAUGGUUGUAGGAAUCAGUAGACCCUGUAUGGAAAGCAAUAGGAUAAUAUUUCAUAGGAUCAAAUUAAAAUGUUCACAGCAUUGGUUCCAGGAAAUUGGCUUCUGGAGAAUUUAUACUCCAGAAACAAUUCAACAAAAGAACACAGCUCUGUGCAUGCAGAUGCUCAUUAGCCCAUCACCUAGAGUAAGGGAAAGUGGAGAUCCCAAUGAACAACAAUGAGAUGGGUUAGCGAACUGUGACCUAUCAGCCCAAUGGACAUUUAAGCAAUCACUGAAAAGUAGAAACAUGAAGAUAUUACACAACAUGGAAACUGUUUAUGGAGUAUAUUUAGGUAAAAAGGAAAAAAAGGCAGAACUGUAUAUCUGUGGUUGGAUAUACUUUUUUUUUUUUAAUAUUAAGCACCAACCAAAAGAAGAAAGGAGGAUAGAAAAAAUAAAAUGGAAGAUGUAGGGUGGGCAGAUUAGGGCUGCGUUUGUUGCUUGCUUUCAUGUUACCAUCAUAGCGUUUUUGCCACUUACAAAGGAGGAAAAAAAUCAAUUCUGUGCCAACCCAGACAACAGAGACCUGAGUGGGGGUUGGGAAGAGAGAUUUUUCAGCACAGAAUCAGACUCCUUCUCCAAAGAGCUGUGUGGCCUUCACCUGCAAGGCGACCUCUUCCACAAGCAGAGGCCAGGACAAAAAGAGGCACCUGUGAGCGACAAAGACGGUUUCCUUGGUUUCCCUCACGGCGCCAAGCGGAGUGGCCGCCUCCCACCACAGGGCCCCCUAAUGGGCGCUUUUGUCCUGCGGGGCAGAGGGACCUCAUUAGAAGGCGCUGGUGCUAAAGGGAAAUGCAUUUCCAGAACAGGAGGUUUCAUCAUUCCUAGCGUUAGCGACAGAAUGGUGACAGAAGCUCUGUGGACGUAUUUUCCAGCGUUCAGUUCACAUCAAGGAUGGGUAUGCACUGGCGGAAAAGCUUACCAUUGCCCAGAAGAUAUCACAGGCCAUUCAAUGUGAGCACCAAGAAGAAAGGGUAUAUCCAUCCUAUUUUUCUCUAAGACUACAGUCUUGGCCUCUGUCUCUGUCUGCCUCCAGAGAGAGAUUUAGCUUUUGAUCACCUCCAACAAACAACAUCCUUUAGGAUAUUGAAACUGACAAAAGACAGCCUACAAAAUCCUAUGGUUUACAUUAAAAGUCUGAAGGCAUUGCCAUGUUCCGGAUCUGGGGGUUAACAGUGCAUGACGAAGCACAUACCCUCAGUAAGAAUUUAAUUUAGCUCGAAUAUGAAGGGAUGCUUUAUGAGACAAACUGGCAGCAGUUCCAUGGGGUGAGCAGAGAAGUGAGACUAUAAAACAGAAGACAAUUUGCUAUUUCUAAAUUGCUCCCUCUCAAAAACUGUGGUGGGUGUCUUAAAAUCAUCUCGUAUAUCCUUUUACCCAGUAAUCUCAAUUCUAGGAAUGUAUUCUAACAAAAUAAUUGGGCAAGUCCACAAGGAGGUAUGUGGACUACUGUUUAUAUCAUGCCUUUGUUUAUAAUAGGAAAAAAAAACCAACAGAAAAACAAAGGUCCAUCAGUAGGAAAUAAAGUAUUGAUUAGGCAUAUAAUGAAAUUAUAUGCAACUUUUAGAAUGCUGAAAAAGUAUAGUACAUUAGACUUCAGACAUCAGCAUUUAGUUUAGUAUACUAUACUAUUAAGUAAAACAGUUUUAAAAUAGAUUUUAUAAAAUAUCUUUGUUUUAAAACAAAGUGUGUUGUAAGAAUAGAAAAGAA
This 3158-nucleotide long non-coding RNA is filed under the name Homo sapiens (human). RNAcentral's name for it is "HSALNT0306451". Lineage: Eukaryota; Metazoa; Chordata; Mammalia; Primates; Hominidae. The record is from RNAcentral.